UACGAAGGGGGCGAGCGUUGUUCGGAAUUACUGGGCGUAAAGGGCGCGUAGGCGGCCGAUCAAGUCAGAUGUGAAAGUCCUGGGCUUAACCUGGGGACUGCAUUUGAUACUGAUUGGCUUGAAUGCAGGAGAGGAUAGCGGAAUUCCCAGUGUAGAGGUGAAAUUCGUAGAUAUUGGGAGGAACACCGAUGGCGAAGGCAGGUCUCUGGGCCAUAACUGACGCUGAGAAGCGAAAGCAUGGGGAGCGAACAGG
This 253-nucleotide ribosomal RNA is filed under the name uncultured bacterium. RNAcentral's name for it is "partial 16S ribosomal RNA". It matches the Rfam family "Bacterial small subunit ribosomal RNA", at positions 524 to 776 of the family's 1533-position model. The record is from RNAcentral.